This 144-nucleotide ribosomal RNA is filed under the name uncultured eukaryote. RNAcentral's name for it is "partial 18S ribosomal RNA". It matches the Rfam family "Eukaryotic small subunit ribosomal RNA", at positions 1299 to 1458 of the family's 1831-position model. The record is from RNAcentral.
UGGUGGAGUGAUUUGUCUGGUUAAUUCCGUUAACGAACGAGACCUCAGCCUGCUAAAUAGUCAGGGGAAGAUUUCGGUCUUCCGCUCUCUGACUUCUUAGAGGGACUGUCGGUUUCUAGCCGACUGAAGUGUGAGGCAAUAACA